AUGGGCGUGGAGGAUGUGUGUGGGCAUGGCAAACCUGAGAAGUGGUUAUUUUCCUGUGAGAACAGCCUAUCACUUGCUAGUUCAGAAAUGGUGCCCAGAGCAAUCCUCCGAAAUAGGCAUAUUGAAAGAAUUGGUUUUUGUGGACGUGGGGAAACCAUAUAUCAUGCCCUGUUUGAAUGUACAUGGGCAAAAUUAUUUUGGAAGGAAAUCAGAUAUGUUGCUGCAUUCAAGAAAUCAUGGAGGAAGGAGCGGACAGUAGUGCACUCUGUCAAAUGGUUGUUGGAUGUGGCUUGGGAUUUAUCAUUAACGGAAGAGAAAGAAACGAUGUUAAGCACCAUUGGAAGCCACCCGAUGCAAGGCCAGGCUGUCCACCCAUUUCACUCCCUAAUGUUUGCUGAUGAUCUUCUUCUCUGUGGUAAGGCUACUGCUACCGAAGCCAUUCACAUGUACAAUAUAUUGCAGAGUUAUUUUCAGCUUUCAGGCCAGACCCCCAAUUGGAGCAAAUCAGAACUUACAGCUAUCAUAAGGAACUUCUGGUGGACAAGAAUUAAUGAAGAGCCUACAACUAAAACUCUCUAUCUCUGGGCAUGGAAGGACAUAUGCAUACCAAAAUGUGAGGAUGGCUUAGGAAUCAGAAACAUUCAAGCAAUGAACAGGGGUCUCAUUCUAUCAGGAGCUUGGAGAAUUGCAGAUAUGAUCCAGAAAGUUUCCUUUCUAAAGUCCUAA
RNAcentral lists this ribosomal RNA (726 nucleotides) under Triticum aestivum (bread wheat). RNAcentral describes it as "partial small subunit ribosomal RNA". Lineage: Eukaryota; Viridiplantae; Streptophyta; Magnoliopsida; Poales; Poaceae. The record is from RNAcentral.